GACGAACGCUGGCGGCGUGCUUAACACAUGCAAGUCGAACGGAAAGGCCCUGCUUUUGUGGGGUGCUCGAGUGGCGAACGGGUGAGUAACACGUGAGUAACCUGCCCUUGACUUUGGGAUAACUUCAGGAAACUGGGGCUAAUACCGGAUAGGAGCUCCUGCUGCAUGGUGGGGGUUGGAAAGUUUCGGCGGUUGGGGAUGGACUCGCGGCUUAUCAGCUUGUUGGUGGGGUAGUGGCUUACCAAGGCUUUGACGGGUAGCCGGCCUGAGAGGGUGACCGGCCCCAUGGGGCUGGGGAUAGGCCCCAAACCCCGAGGGGGGGCAGAGGGGGGGAAAUUGGCCAAAGGGGGGAAGGCGGAGGGAGGAAACGCCGGGGGGGGGAAGAGGGCUUUGGGGUUGAAACCCCUUUCCGCCUGGAACGAGGGGUGGGGGCGGGAAAUGGGAAAAGAAGCACCGGCAAACACCGG
RNAcentral lists this ribosomal RNA (467 nucleotides) under uncultured bacterium. RNAcentral describes it as "partial 16S ribosomal RNA". It matches the Rfam family "Bacterial small subunit ribosomal RNA", at positions 28 to 506 of the family's 1533-position model. The record is from RNAcentral.